UUGUUGGUAAGGUAAAAGCUUACCAAGGCUUCGAUCAGUAGCUGGUCUGAGAGGACGACCAGCCACACUGGGACUGAGACACGGCCCAGACUCCUACGGGAGGCAGCAGUGGGGAAUUUUGGACAAUGGGGGCAACCCUGAUCCAGCCAUGCCGCGUGAGUGAAGAAGGCCUUCGGGUUGUAAAGCUCUUUCAGCCGGAACGAAACGGUUACGGAUAACACCCGUGACUACUGACGGUACCGGAAGAAGAAGCACCGGCUAACUACGUGCCAGCAGCCGCGGUAAUACGUAGAGUGCGAGCGUUAAUCGGAAUUACUGGGCGUAAAGCGUGCGCAGGUGGUUUUGUAAGUCAGAUGUGAAAGCCCCGGGCUCAACCUGGGAACUGCGUUUGAAACUACAAGACUAGAGUGUGGCAGAGGGGGGUGGAAUUCCGCGUGUAGCAGUGAAAUGCGUAGAGAUGUGGAGGAACACCGAUGGCGAAGGCAGCCCCCUGGGUCAACACUGACGCUCAGGCACGAAAGCAUGGGGAGCAAACAGGAUUAGAUACCCUGGUAGUCCAUGCCCUAAACGAUGUCAACUAGUUGUCGGGCCUUUACGGGCUUGGUAACGUAGCUAACGCGUGAAGUUGACCGCCUGGGGAGUACGAUCGCAAGAUUAAAACUCAAAUGAAUUGACGGGGACCCGCACAAGCGGUGGAUUAUGUGGAUUAAUUCGAUGCAACGCGAAAAACCUUACCUACCCUUGACAUGUAUCGAAGCCCGCAGAAAAGCGGGGGUGCCCGAAAGGGAACGAUAACACAGGUGCUGCAUGGCUGUCGUCAGCUCGUGUCGUGAGAUGUUGGGUUAAGUCCCGCAACGAGCGCAACCCUUGUCAUUAAUUGCCAUCAUUUAGUUGGGCACUUUAAUGAGACUGCCGG
This 916-nucleotide ribosomal RNA is filed under the name uncultured bacterium. RNAcentral describes it as "bacterial SSU rRNA". It matches the Rfam family "Bacterial small subunit ribosomal RNA", at positions 246 to 1155 of the family's 1533-position model. The record is from RNAcentral.